AGAGUUUGAUCCUGGCUCAGGACGAACGCUGGCGGCGUGCUUAACACAUGCAAGUCGAACGGAGCACCCCUGAAGGAGUUUUCGGACAACGGAAGGGAAUGCUUAGUGGCGGACUGGUGAGUAACGCGUGAGGAACCUGCCUUUCGGAGGGGGACAACAGUUGGAAACGACUGCUAAUACCGCAUGACGUAUCGGGAUCGCAUGGUCUUGAUACCAAAGAUUUUAUCGCCGAAAGAUGGCCUCGCGUCUGAUUAGGUAGUUGGUGGGGCAACGGCCCACCAAGCCGACGAUGCGUAGGGGUUCUGAGAGGAAGGUCCCCCACAUUGGAACUGAGACACGGUCCAAACUCCUACGGGAGGCAGCAGUGAGGAAUAUUGGUCAAUGGCCGGAAGGCUGAACCAGCCAAGUCGCGUGAGGGAAUAAGGCCCUACGGGUCGUAAACCUCUUUUGUCAGGGAGCAAGGCCGCCCACGUGUGGACGGAAGGAGAGUACCUGGAGAAAAAGCAUCGGCUAACUCCGUGCCAGCAGCCGCGGUAAUACGGAGGAUGCGAGCGUUAUCCGGAUUUAUUGGGUUUAAAGGGUGCGUAGGCGGCCUGCCAAGUCAGCGGUAAAAUUGCGGGGCUCAACCCCGUACAGCCGUUGAAACUCCCGGGCUCGAGUGGGCGAGAAGUAUGCGGAAUGCGUGGUGUAGCGGUGAAAUGCAUAGAUAUCUCGCAGAACCCCGAUUGCGAAGGCAGCAUACCGGCGCCCGACUGACGGUGAGGCACGAAAGUGCGGGGAUCAAACAAGAUUAGAUACCCUGGUAGUCCGCACAGUAAACGACCCAUUAUAGCUGUCUGGGGGGGGAUAGACCACUGGGUGGCACAGCGAAAGCGUUAAGCAUUUCAUCUGGGGGAGAACGCCGGCAACGGUGGAACUCAAAGGAAUUGACGGGGGCCCGCACAAGCGGAAGGAACAUGAGGUUUAAUUAGAUGAAACCGCGAGGAACCUUACCCGGGCUCAAACACUGAAGGGACAUUCCCUGAAAGGGGAUUGGCCAUCAAUGGUCUUUGGCGAGGUGGUGCAUGGUUGUAGUCAGCUCGUGCCGUGAGGUGUCGGCUUAAGUGCCAUAACGAGCGCAACCCCCACCGACAGUUGCUAACUGGUCAAGCAGAGGACUCUGUCGGGACUGCCGGCGCAAGCUGCGAGGAAGGCGGGGAUGACGUCAAAUCAGCACGGCCCUUACGUCCGGGGCGACACACGUGUUACAAUGGCAGGUACAGCGGGAUGCCAUGGGGCGACCCAGAGCGGAACCCGAAAACCUGUCUCAGUUCGGAUUGGAGUCUGCAACCCGACUCCAUGAAGCUGGAUUCGCUAGUAAUCGCGCAUCAGCCACGGCGCGGUGAAUACAAAGCCGGGCCUUGCACACACCGCCCGUCAAG
RNAcentral lists this ribosomal RNA (1421 nucleotides) under uncultured bacterium. Its description in RNAcentral is "bacterial SSU rRNA". It matches the Rfam family "Bacterial small subunit ribosomal RNA". The record is from RNAcentral.